GACAGAGGCCACGAGCGUUAGGCGGAAUCACUGGGCUUAAAGCGUGUGUAGGUGGAUGACUAAGUACCUUGUGAAAUCCCACGACUCAAUCGUGGAACUGCUUGGUAUACUGGUUGUCUUGAGGUACUCAGGGGCGAGCGGAACAGAUGGUGGAGCGGUGAAAUGCGUAGAUAUCAUCUGGAACGCCAAUGGUGAAGACAGCUCGCUGGGGGUAUUCUGACACUGAGACACGAAAGCCAGGGGAGCAAACGGG
RNAcentral lists this ribosomal RNA (253 nucleotides) under uncultured bacterium. RNAcentral's name for it is "partial 16S ribosomal RNA". It matches the Rfam family "Bacterial small subunit ribosomal RNA", at positions 524 to 776 of the family's 1533-position model. The record is from RNAcentral.